AAACUCAAUGGGGUCAACAGGGGGCAUCAAGCGUGCUUGGUGUGCGACCCCCUAGUCAACUGGCUUUAAACUAAGCAGUCCGCCUUAGCGAGGGCUGUGAAGUGGUGCAAGCUGCCAGUUGGCAAGACAACCUGGUACGAGGGAAGCUUCGCUGCCUUUAUAAAAGCAGCGGGGUCAUCUCGUGGCGAGUCCCCCUAGCGGGGGGCCGUCGUAACGCGCGGAAAGGUGUCGGUUUGGGCCUCUUUCGAGGGGCCUGGGCUUAAGGAACGUGCUAAACCCACGUAACGCUGCAAAGCGAAGCGUGUUCACUGCAGAAGGGCUUACACCCCGAACGCAGUGAGGACCCAAGGGGGACCUUGGAGUGUUUGGCUUCGGCCCAGCACCCCCCCCUUUAAGAAGCGGGAGCAAAUGCCCGAUUCGAGGUCGGUAUUUUUG
RNAcentral lists this non-coding RNA (435 nucleotides) under Polyschismium alpestroides. Lineage: Eukaryota; Evosea; Eumycetozoa; Physariida; Didymiaceae. The record is from RNAcentral.